RNAcentral lists this ribosomal RNA (1500 nucleotides) under metagenome. RNAcentral describes it as "bacterial SSU rRNA". It matches the Rfam family "Bacterial small subunit ribosomal RNA". The record is from RNAcentral.
UUGGCUCAGAACGAACGCUGGCGGCGUGGAUAAGACAUGCAAGUCGAACGGAAUUUAGCAAUAAAUUUAGUGGCGCAAGGGUGAGUAACACGUGAGGAAUUUGCCGUGAAGUUUGGAAUAGCCCGCCGAAAGGUGGAUUAAUACCAGAUGUGAUCCAGGACCGGCAUCGGCCCUGGAUGAAAGGGGGGGAUCUUCGGACCUCCCGCUUCAUGAUAAUCUCGCGGCCCAUCAGCUAGUUGGUAGGGUAACGGCCUACCAAGGCAACGACGGGUAACUGGUCUGAGAGGACGAUCAGUCACACUGGAACUGAGACACGGUCCAGACACCUACGGGUGGCAGCAGUCGAGAAUCAUUCACAAUGGGCGAAAGCCUGAUGGUGCGACGCCGCGUGGGGGAAGAAGGGCUUCGGUCUGUAAACCCCUGUCAUCUGUUAACAAAGCAGCUCCAUUAACACCGGAGCUGUCUGAUAGUCGCAGAAGAGGAAGGGACGGCUAACUCUGUGCCAGCAGCCGCGGUAAUACAGAGGUCCCAAGCGUUGUUCGGAUUCACUGGGCGUAAAGGGUGCGUAGGCGGCAGUUUAAGUCUGAUGUGAAAGCUCCGGGCUCAACCCGGAAAUUGCAUUGGAUACUAUUCUGCUCGAGGAUCGGAGGGGGGACUGGAAUUCUUGGUGUAGCAGUGAAAUGCAUAGAUAUCAAGAGGAACACCAGUGGCGAAGGCGAGUCCCUGGACGAUUCCUGACGCUGAGGCACGAAGGCUAGGGUAGCAAACAGGAUUAGAUACCCUGGUAGUCCUAGCAGUAAACGGUGCACACUUGCUGUAGGCGGUUCGGCCCCGUCUGUGGCGAAGCUAACGUGAUAAGUGUGCCGCCUGGGGAGUACGGUCGCAAGGUUAAAACUCAAAGAAAUUGACGGGGGCCUGCACAAGCGGUGGAGUAUGUGGCUUAAUUCGAUACCACGCGAAGAACCUUACCUGGGCUUGACAUGCCUCUCUAAGGCUGUGAAAGCAGUCGAGCUCGCAAGAGCAAUUGGCACGGGUGCUGCAUGGCUGUCGUCAGCUCGUGUCGUGAGAUGUUGGGUUAAGUCCCGCAACGAGCGCAACCCUCGUGUUUUGUUGCCACUUCCGCUAGCGCGGAAAGCACUCUAAACAGACUGCCUGGCUUUAACCAGGAGGAAGGUGGGGAUGACGUCAAGUCAGUAUGGCCCUUACGUCCAGGGCUGCACACGUACUACAAAGCACGAUACAGAGGGUCGCCAAACCGCGAGGUGGAGCUAAUCCUAUAAAAUCGUGCCCAGUUCGGAUUGUAGUCUGCAACUCGACUACAUGAAGUUGGAAUCGCUAGUAAUGGCGCAUCAGCUACGGCGCCGUGAAUACGUUCCCAGGCCUUGUACACACCGCCCGUCACAUCAUGAAAGCCGGUUUUACCCGAAGUCGGUGAGCUAACCUCUAGGAGGCAACUGCCGAAGGUAAGGCUGGUGAUUGGGAUGAAGUCGUAACAAGGUA